CUUGCAUAGAAAAGAAUGUUUAUCCCACAGACUCUUCCUUUUUCCCAGCAAUGUUCUCAGGAUUGUAUUUGUCUCUGCCCUAAUUGACCCCACCCCUCACCCUGUAGUCUUUUCCUCAAUCCUCAAUUCUGGAGUUGCAUAGAGUAAAAUUGGGUCUGAACAGACAGGAAUGUGGAACUCUACGUUCCAGUUAGUUAGGGAGUGUGAUCCUGGGAGCUCCAAUGUAUAAACAUCCUUCCCAAGCAAAUAAACUGUCCCAUGGCCAUGCUGAGCUUUGCAACCUGACUCCCCAAAGGACUGUUUAUGUAGCCUGUGGGUAUGUGCUGUGUUCUUCUGGCCUCACACUCACCAAGGGUGUAUUGGCUUGAGGAUGGGGGCUUGGGGAUGGGGGCUGACAUUGGUUUCCACUUUGGGCUCUGUGGAGAGAGAGGAGCUGCCCUAGAGCUCUUCCCAUGGAGUCAAAAGGCUAAGAGAGAGUUGCCUAUAGCUGAGGAUCAUACCAACCAGUAGGUGCCUGAGGCAGAACUGAAACCCAGGUCCUCCUGGCUCUGAGGUCAGCUCUUUAUCUACUAUUUUAUUUCUUUCUCCUAGCAUAUUUAACCUCUGAAUCUGUUUAGGUUGGUGGAAAGAAGGCUGGGGAUAGGGAGGGUUAUAUAGGACAUAAUGGAUCUCUUCAAUCAGUGGAAGAAUUGUAAUAUGGAAGACGGUUCAGACUUAUUCUGUUUAACUUCAUUGAGCAAAACUAGAGGGAGAUUUAUUAUUGUUGUUGUUUAGUCAUUACAGUCAUAUCUAACCCAUUUGGGGUUUUCCUGGCAAGGAUAUUGGGGGUGGUUUACCAUUUCCUUCUCUAAUUCAUUUUACAGAUGAGGAAAGUGAGGUUAAGAGUUAAUUUGAACUCUGAUUAAAAGAGAAGCUUUCUAACAAUUAGAGCUAUCCAAAAACAAACAAACAAACAAAAACCCCCCCAACAAAACAAAACCUUGUGAGAUAAUGAGUUCCUUAUCAUUAAGUAUAUCUAAGCAAAAGACAAUCAGAAAGCAGAACUAAAAGCAGUGGGUUGUAAUUGAAAAGAGGCAAAUCUAUACUUCAUGUAAGUAAGGAGACUGCCUAACACAGUAAGAUGGAAUGAGCUGAGCUGCCUUAGGUGGUAGGCUAUUGAUUUACCUUAACUAAAAUAUUCAAAGACUGGAU
RNAcentral lists this long non-coding RNA (1191 nucleotides) under Monodelphis domestica (gray short-tailed opossum). Its description in RNAcentral is "lncRNA (ENSMODG00000046119.1)". The record is from RNAcentral. Lineage: Eukaryota; Metazoa; Chordata; Mammalia; Didelphimorphia; Didelphidae.